RNAcentral lists this signal recognition particle RNA (99 nucleotides) under Actinomycetota bacterium. RNAcentral describes it as "signal recognition particle sRNA small type". It matches the Rfam family "Bacterial small signal recognition particle RNA". From Rfam's summary of the family: The signal recognition particle (SRP) is a universally conserved ribonucleoprotein involved in the co-translational targeting of proteins to membranes. Archaeal SRP consists of a 7S RNA and homologues of the eukaryotic SRP19 and SRP54 proteins. In most bacteria, the SRP consists of a 4.5S RNA and the Ffh protein (a homologue of the eukaryotic SRP54 protein). The record is from RNAcentral. Lineage: Bacteria; Bacillati; Actinomycetota.
GGUCGGGUCCUGCGCAACGGCGUCCCGUGAACCGAGUCAGGGCCGGAAGGCAGCAGCUCUCAGCGGAAGGCACCGUGUGCCGCAGCCAGCCUGACCGUC